UUUGGGGAUUUAGCUCAGUGGUAGAGCACUUGCCUAGCAAGCACAAGACCCUGGGUUUGAUCCCCAGCUCCAAAA
This is a non-coding RNA of Peromyscus leucopus (white-footed mouse), 75 nucleotides long. The record is from the annotation of a RefSeq genome assembly. Lineage: Eukaryota; Metazoa; Chordata; Mammalia; Rodentia; Cricetidae.